GGGGAAUAUUGCACAAUGGGGGAAACCCUGAUGCAGCGACGCCGCGUGAGUGAAGAAGUAAUUCGUUAUGUAAAGCUCUAUCAGCAGGGAAGAACAUGACGGUACCUGAGUAAGAAGCCGCGGCUAACUACGGGCCAGCAGCCGCGGUAAUACGUAGGGGGCAAGCGUUAUCCGGAUUUACUGGGUGUAAAGGGAGCGUAGACGGCAUAGCAAGUCUGAAGUGAAAGGCUGGGGCUGAACCCCGGGACUGCUUUGGAAACUGUUAGGCUGGAGUGCAGGAGAGGUAAGUGGAAUUCCUAGUGUAGCGGUGAAAUGCGUAGAUAUUAGGAGGAACACCAGUGGCGAAGGCGGCUUACUGGACUGUAACUGACGUUGAGGCUCGAAAGCGUGGGGAGCAAACAGG
Molecule: ribosomal RNA, 403 nt
Filed under: uncultured bacterium
Lineage: Bacteria
Description: bacterial SSU rRNA
Rfam family: Bacterial small subunit ribosomal RNA
Source: RNAcentral